Molecule: ribosomal RNA, 460 nt
Filed under: uncultured bacterium
Lineage: Bacteria
Description: partial 16S ribosomal RNA
Rfam family: Bacterial small subunit ribosomal RNA
Source: RNAcentral
CCUACGGGUGGCAGCAGUGAGGAAUAUUGGUCAAUGGGCGCGAGCCUGAACCAGCCAAGUAGCGUGAAGGAUGACUGCUCUACGGGUUGUAAACCUCUUUUAUAAGGGCAUAAAGUGAGGCACGUGUGCCUUUUUGUAUGUACUUUAUGAAUAAGGAUCGGCUAACUCCGUGCCAGCAGCCGCGGUAAUACGGAGGAUCCGAGCGUUAUCCGGCUUUAUUGGGGUUAAAGGGAGCGUAGACGGGGUGUUAAGUCAGUUGUGAAAGUUUGUGGCUCAAACGUAAAAUUGCAGUUGAUACUGGCAGUCUUGAGUACAGUUGAGGUAGGCGGAAUUCGUGGUGUAGCGGUGAAAUGCUUAGAGAUCACGAAGAACUCCGAUUGCGAAGGCAGCCUGCUAAACUGCCACUGACACUGAUGCUCGAAAGCGUGGGGAUCAAACAGGAUUAGAUACCCGUGUAGUC